RNAcentral lists this long non-coding RNA (1203 nucleotides) under Chinchilla lanigera (long-tailed chinchilla). RNAcentral describes it as "lncRNA (ENSCLAG00000028965.1)". Lineage: Eukaryota; Metazoa; Chordata; Mammalia; Rodentia; Chinchillidae. The record is from RNAcentral.
AGCCACCAACCGGCCACUGUCUGGGCGAGUCCACUGCGCCUGCGCAGUCUAAGGAGCCCGCGCAGGCCUGGCGCGCGUCGCCCCGUGUCGGACUCCACUUCCCAGCGGCCUCUGCGCGGCCCUGGCCGCCGGCGCGGGCGCGCGGUGCCUUUGUGAGCGCGGCCGGCGCCUGAGGAGCCGGACCUCGGGCCUGCGGCAGGGGAGGCGCCCUGCUUUCUCAGGAUACUGUUCUUCUCCCGUAAAGAAACGUGAAAGAGGAGGACAGAACCAUCAUAAAUUCUCAAAGUCUUAAAGCCAUGUCCAAGGUAAGAAAUGUUUCUUCUUUCUUCCCUGAAAUGCCAUUUUUUUCAGGUUACAUGAACAUUUUGCUUUUCUUCUUAAACUUCCUAUCCUGACAACAUCUCAUCCAGUGACUUUGCUCCUCAAAGGUUUCCAUUCCAGAAAAAAAAAGGAAGUCCUAAAAAGACCACAAACUUCCUUUUUCUACCGAGCUAGUUUUUUCAUCUAUUCGAGAAUUAGUUCAGUACCUCCUAUGGGAUCAGUGCUCGGUUAAGAACUCUCAAGAGGCAAAAACAGACGCCUGGAAGGGAUAUGAAAGCCUUCCUUGUGGGAAUGUGACUCAUGGAUGUUGAGGUGUUCUCGUGUGAAUGCUAGCAUUGAGCUCUCCAUUACCUGCAUUUGAAACAUGGGCAAGACAGGAGGGCCACUGGGUAGACUUAAUCAUAGAUUACAGCACAGUCUCUUUUUCAAGGUGAUUUUGUGGAAUGAGAUCUAUCUGGAUGAGUAUUAAAGUGUAGGUCAGCUAAGCAGUGAUUCUUCUAGGUACUCUGUGAACUUUGAAGGAUAAGAGUUGAGAGAGUAGUGAGGUUCAUUUUAGGGACAUCCUGAGUUAAUAGCAGGCCGCAAUGAUGAUAUUCUAGGUCAUCCAAUUAAGAUUAGUGAAUUAAUGUGAAAAAGGGACAUUUUCUGAAAAAGUAAUGAGGGAAACAGAUGAAUCUACAUUUUUUAAAAGCUAUAAAAAAAAAAAGAAAUUAAGUGUAGAAUACCACCUAGAAGAAACAAAUGAAAAAAUGAAUAUAUAAUGUCUAGAAAUAAAUGCAGGUGUAAACAUUCUACAGGAAUGGAAAACAUUGAUUGAACAUAUAGUUAUUAAAAACAACUACAUGCAGAGUCCUGUGGCAAAUAAAAAUAGACAUUGCCUUU